AACGAACGCUGGCGGCAUGCCUAACACAUGCAAGUCGAACGGAACCUCCGGGUCUAUGGGGGCAGGGGGGGGUACGGCGGGGGAACUUGCCCUUGGGUUCGGAAUACCUCCCCGAAGGGGGUCCUAAUACCGGUUAAGGUCUUCGGACCAAAGAUUUAUCGCCUUUGGAUGGGCCCGCGUUGGUUUAGCUAGUUGGUAGGGUAAAAGCCUGCCAAGGCGACGAUCCAUAGCUGGUCUGAGAGGAUGAUUAGCCACACUGGGAAUGAGACACGGCCCAGACUCCUACGGGAGGGAGCAGUGGGGAAUAUUGGACGAUGGGCGAAAGCCUGAUCCAGCAAUGCCGCGUGAGUGAUGAAGGCCUUAGGGUUGUAAAGCUCUUUUACCCGGGAUGAUAAUGACAGUACCGGGAGAAUAAGCUCCGGCUAACUCCGUG
Molecule: ribosomal RNA, 433 nt
Filed under: uncultured bacterium
Lineage: Bacteria
Description: partial 16S ribosomal RNA
Rfam family: Bacterial small subunit ribosomal RNA
Source: RNAcentral